Molecule: ribosomal RNA, 524 nt
Filed under: Allograea tomentosa
Lineage: Eukaryota; Metazoa; Arthropoda; Malacostraca; Decapoda; Bythograeidae
Description: partial 16S ribosomal RNA
Rfam family: Bacterial large subunit ribosomal RNA
Source: RNAcentral
GUCUAUUUGAAGAUAUAAAUAGUCUGACCUGCUCACUGACAGAUAAUAUUGUUUAAGAGCCGCGGUAUAUUGACCGUGCAAAGGUAGCAUAAUAAUUAGUUUUUUAAUUGGGAACUUGUAUGAAUGGUUGGACAAAGGAAUAACUGUCUCUAUAAUAAAUAUUGAAAUUAACUUUUAAGUGAAAAGGCUUAAAUAUCCCAGGGGGACGAGAAGACCCUAUAAAGUUUUAUAUGUUAAUUAAAUUUGAUUAAAUUAUUAAAUAAAAAUCUUGUUUAGCUAUCAUAUUUUAUUGGGGCGAUAUAAGUAUAAUUUAUAUUAACUGCUUAGAUAAUAUACAUUAAAUAAAUGUGUUAAAAUUAGAUGAUCCUUUUUAGAGAUUAAAAGACUAAAUUACUUUAGGGAUAACAGCGUUAUUUUUUUUAAGAGUCCAUAUCGAAAAAAAAGUUUGCGACCUCGAUGUUGAAUUAAAAUAUCUGUAUAAUGCAGCCGUUAUAUAAGAAGGUCUGUUCGACCUUUAAAUUUUU